RNAcentral lists this unclassified non-coding RNA (384 nucleotides) under soil metagenome. RNAcentral's name for it is "partial contains 5.8S ribosomal RNA, internal transcribed spacer 2, and large subunit ribosomal RNA". The stretch from base 1 to 120 matches the Rfam family "5.8S ribosomal RNA", at positions 35 to 154 of the family's 154-position model. The record is from RNAcentral.
GAUGAAGAACGUAGCGAAAUGCGAUAAGUAAUGUGAAUUGCAGAAUUCAGUGAAUCAUCGAAUCUUUGAACGCACCUUGCGCUCCUUGGUAUUCCGAGGAGCAUGCCUGUUUGAGUGUCAUUAAAUUCUCAACCUUUAUCUUUUUUUUAAAUUGAUAAAUGGCUUGGACUUGGGGGUUUGCUGGCGAAAGUCAACUCCUCUGAAAUGUAUUAGCUGGUUGCCUUGUGUGAACUUGUCUAUUGGUGUGAUAAUUAUCUACGCCGUGGGCUGUUUGCCGUUUUAGCACUGCUUCUAACUGUCUGUUAACUCGGACAAUAUAUGACAAUUUGACCUCAAAUCAGGUAGGACUACCCGCUGAACUUAAGCAUAUCAAUAAGCGGAGGA